AACGAACGCUGGCGGCAGGCUUAACACAUGCAAGUCGAACGCACCUUUCGGGGUGAGUGGCAGACGGGUGAGUAACGCGUGGGAAUCUACCCUUCUCUACGGGAUAGCUCCGGGAAACUGGAAUUAAUACCGUAUACGUCCUGAGGGAGAAAGAUUUAUCGGGGAAGGAUGAGCCCGCGUUGGAUUAGCUAGUUGGUGGGGUAAAGGCCUACCAAGGCGACGAUCCAUAGCUGGUCUAAGAGGAUGAUCAGCCACAUUGGGACUGAGACACGGCCCAAACUCCUACGGGAGGCAGCAGUGGGGAAUAUUGGACAAUGGGCGCAAGCCUGAUCCAGCCAUGCCGCGUGAGUGAUGAAGGCCCUAGGGUUGUAAAGCUCUUUCAGGGGGGACGAUAAUGACGGUACCCACAGAAGAAGCCCCGGCUAACUUUGUG
Molecule: ribosomal RNA, 433 nt
Filed under: uncultured bacterium
Lineage: Bacteria
Description: partial 16S ribosomal RNA
Rfam family: Bacterial small subunit ribosomal RNA
Source: RNAcentral